UCAGGAUCGCAUAAAAUGGUGCUGCUGCCAGUGACGACGCUGCUUGGGGAGCAAGGGGGAACAAGAACAGUGUAUGAGAGACAGAGACAGAGCGAGGGGGAGAGACGGUGAGGAAGAGAGAAGCAUCGAGGGGAGAAGAAUGGAGAGGACGAAAGGCCGUGGAACGAGAGAGAGAAAGGGACGGAAACAGAGACAGAGAUGUGCCGGCUGGCAAGCAGAUGGUUGCGCCGUUUAUUGGUUUAUUCGUCGGUUCAGCCAUCACGUCCCGUCCAGCCAUCAGACCAGCCGGUGUUCCUCUUUAUAUUCCUCACGUUGAGGAGGAUCGACUUAACUGCCCGGGCCUUAUCUACUCUACUUUGACCGCGACACGAUGGUGCAUCGAUCGUCAGGAAAACACGGCUGCGUUGUCGAAGAACAUCGUUAGGACUCGAGAAGUUCAGAAGAAGAUUUGUCGGAUCUAUGGCAUAUAGUGGAUCGUGGUGUAUCGUGCGGCGGCAGGGUGCGGAUGUCGAUUGUCUGAAGAGGGGCUCGAGCGGUGAAAGGGUUGAUUGAUGCUGACUCGACUGCUUUUAUCGUCACUUAUACGAUACUGAAAGUGACCAUCACCGUUGGAAUCAAAACAUUUUCUACAGAUGUUGGAUUACGCUGUGCAAUCGGCAGGAGUGACUUCACUCACCAUCAAAUUACAAACUUCAUCUAAUUUCUGCUACAUUCUGCUACAAAAAUCUUCGUAUCACAGGUAAUCAGAAGCCUAGACAAAAGUGAUCGAGCUUCUUUAGGUAUAUAUUCGUGUUGACUUAUUGAUCCCCAUGGAGAGAUUACAACCUUCCCAUGGGAACAAAUCAACGUCUGGCGAGAAAUAUGUAUGCGUCCAAGGAAUCGUUUCGGAUGUCAUCGUCAAAGUCGUCUUUCGAGGGAUUAAAGUUUCUGACAAGCUUGUUAAAAUAUAACCUCUCACUCGAACGGCUCGAACGGUGUAUUAGCAAUCGUAAAUUGGCAUAAUAUUCGGAAGUCUUCGAAGCUUAAGGAGCUUCUUUGUAAUUGGAAGUUUUGAAAAUCGUUAGA
Long non-coding RNA from Bombus huntii, 1065 nucleotides. RefSeq lists it as uncharacterized. The record is from RefSeq and is a predicted model, not a curated record. Lineage: Eukaryota; Metazoa; Arthropoda; Insecta; Hymenoptera; Apidae. The transcript is spliced from 5 exons.